Bombus pyrosoma is the source of this 526-nucleotide long non-coding RNA. RefSeq lists it as uncharacterized. The transcript has 3 exons. Lineage: Eukaryota; Metazoa; Arthropoda; Insecta; Hymenoptera; Apidae. The record is from RefSeq and is a predicted model, not a curated record.
UUCCCGAUAAUCGUACUGCAUCUAAAUGCAAAUUUAGACGACAGCAAUACUUUUUCCAGCGAGUUCCAUUUCAGUCUACGGUUACUGCUACGGUAAAAUUAAUGAACCGAACUGCUCUGUAGAGAAAAGACAACGGAUAAAGAAGAUAAGAAAGUUGUGAUAUUGAUACAUGUAUGUUAAAGUUGUGAUACUGAUUUUCGACAGUAUGGUUUGGGCUGGGAAGGUUUUAGAUUUUGUCUCAUGAAUGCGAAUUUGACGGGAGGUGACUUGCCGUAACAGCGCUAGUUAUGAUAGUGUCAGUGCUAAUUAUGGCAUACUGCGCGAGCCAAAUUAAUCCAAUACUAACUGGAUACACAAGAGCUAUGCAUAAGGAAAGUAAUUAGAAAAAUUGUUGUUUGAUAAUGACACAAUAUAUGAAUAUCGUAUAUAAUACGACAAAUAAUUGUAAUUAAAAUUGAAAUGAAUAUCGUAUAAUUAGUACGUUACAUUUCUGGUAAAUAAUUAAUAAUUAUUCUGGUAAAUAAUA